This 301-nucleotide ribosomal RNA is filed under the name uncultured bacterium. RNAcentral's name for it is "partial 16S ribosomal RNA". It matches the Rfam family "Bacterial small subunit ribosomal RNA", at positions 509 to 809 of the family's 1533-position model. The record is from RNAcentral.
CAGCCGCCACGGUAAUACGAAGGGGGCUAGCGUUGCUCGGAAUCACUGGGCGUAAAGGGUGCGUAGGCGGGUCUUUAAGUCAGGGGUGAGAUCCUGGAGCUCAACUCCAGAACUGCCUUUGAUACUGAAGAUCUUGAGUUCGGGAGAGGUGAGUGGAACUGCGAGUGUAGAGGUGAAAUUCGUAGAUAUUCGCAAGAACACCAGUGGCGAAGGCGGCUCACUGGCCCGAUACUGACGCUGAGGCACGAAAGCGUGGGGAGCAAACAGGAUUAGAUACCCCCGUAGUCCCUGUCUCUUAUAA